UACAGAGGUCUCAAGCGUUGUUCGGACUCAUUGGGCGUAAAGGGUGCGUAGGCGGCGCGGUAAGUCGGGUGUGAAAUCUCGGAGCUUAACUCCGAAACUGCAUUCGAUACUGCCGUGCUUGAGGACUGGAGAGGAGACUGGAAUUUACGGUGUAGCGGUGAAAUGCGUAGAUAUCGUAAGGAAGACCAGUGGCGAAGGCGGGUCUCUGGACAGUUCCUGACGCUGAGGCACGAAGGCCAGGGGAGCAAACAGG
RNAcentral lists this ribosomal RNA (253 nucleotides) under uncultured bacterium. RNAcentral's name for it is "partial 16S ribosomal RNA". It matches the Rfam family "Bacterial small subunit ribosomal RNA", at positions 524 to 776 of the family's 1533-position model. The record is from RNAcentral.